Molecule: ribosomal RNA, 491 nt
Filed under: uncultured bacterium
Lineage: Bacteria
Description: partial 16S ribosomal RNA
Rfam family: Bacterial small subunit ribosomal RNA
Source: RNAcentral
AGUGAACGCUGGCGGUAGGCCUAACACAUGCAAGUCGAACGGCAGCACAGUAAGAGCUUGCUCUUACGGGUGGCGAGUGGCGGACGGGUGAGGAAUACAUCGGAAUCUACUUUUUCGUGGGGGAUAACGUAGGGAAACUUACGCUAAUACCGCAUACGACCUACGGGUGAAAGCAGGGGAUCUUCGGACCUUGCGCGAUUGAAUGAGCCGAUGUCGGAUUAGCUAGUUGGCGGGGUAAAGGCCCACCAAGGCGACGAUCCGUAGCUGGUCUGAGAGGAUGAUCAGCCACACUGGAACUGAGACACGGUCCAGACUCCUACGGGAGGCAGCAGUGGGGAAUAUUGGACAAUGGGCGCAAGCCUGAUCCAGCCAUACCGCGUGGGUGAAGAAGGCCUUCGGGUUGUAAAGCCCUUUUGUUGGGAAAGAAAAGCAGCAGGUUAAUACCCCGCUGUUCUGACGGUACGCAAAGAAUAAGCACCGGCUAACUUCGU